UACGUAGGGUGCAAGCGUUAAUCGGAAUUACUGGGCGUAAAGCGUGCGCAGGCGGUUUCGUAAGUCUGUCGUGAAAUCCCCGGGCUUAACCUGGGAAUGGCGAUGGAGACUGCGAGGCUAGAGUUUGGCAGAGGGGGAUGGAAUUCCGCGUGUAGCAGUGAAAUGCGUAGAUAUGCGGAGGAACACCGAUGGCGAAGGCAAUCCCCUGGGCCUGCACUGACGCUCAUGCACGAAAGCGUGGGGAGCAAACAGG
This 253-nucleotide ribosomal RNA is filed under the name uncultured bacterium. RNAcentral's name for it is "partial 16S ribosomal RNA". It matches the Rfam family "Bacterial small subunit ribosomal RNA", at positions 524 to 776 of the family's 1533-position model. The record is from RNAcentral.